UUUAAGUUGCACGCGUACAUGACUUUCCGUUUGUGCCUUGAAUAAUGAAUAAGGCUACGUCCACACGUACCAGGGUAUUUUUGAAACCGCUGAUUUUUCUAUGCGUUUGCACCUUUUGUCCACACGUAAUGUAUGUCUGGCCGUACAUUGUGUUUGUAUUUCCAGGCACAUUUCACGAAGCAGAACGCAGUCUUCAGAGAUAUCCACGUGAACGCUGUGAUACGUCUGACCUUCAGUCCGAAGAAGAAACCCAGACCAGUCUUAAAAGAAAGCACAAACCAAAUCCCCUGUACACAUAUACGGACUCAGAGGAUGAGCAGCCUACAAAAAAACGGUUUCCCCAGGCCCCUCGAGUGAAAAUACCAGCCCUCAUCACUCCGCAGUCUGCCCCCCAGCCCACUGAUAGCAACCAUCAUAAUGCCCCACCCAGCCUUCGGCACCUUUCGCCACUCCGGCACAAACCGACACAGCUUUGCGAUCUCGCCAGCAUGCAGAGUCUGAUGUCUUCCCUAUAGAUGAUUCCAGAGACUCUGUGGGGCCACUAUUGCAAGGCAAGUUUGAAAAUCUUGGAAUUUCACAGUUUACAUGGUAUAACAAAUAUAUGUGACAGGCAAAAACUAGUAAACACUUUUAGCAGUUACAAGAACUAACAAAUGAAUAUCCAACAAAAGGGAAUAGAAAUACAUUGUACUGCCAAUACUUUGGUUUAUUCUUUGUAUGACUUGAAAAUCAGGCUUUAGGGAAAACCAAAUGACAUGUUUCUAUCAUCAAUUACAUGAAGUAAACACACAAGCACUUGCAUACACAUUUAAGACAUGAGACACGCUAAUUCCAUCUCUUAAAAUGUGUCUAUAGGUGAGACGCUUUGCGUUGAUUGGUGCUGCUAGACCACACUGGAGGUGCGAGUCCGCCGUGUAAUGGUUUAUGCCAUUACAAAGGAGCUGGCCUCUGUACUCAACUGGGCAGGGGAAAAAAUACCAAGGACCAGACAAAGCAAAAAAGGGCAUUUAAAGAGACAGCGCUGUGCAGAUGCAUAUUUGAUGGCCUGGCGCAGCAGGUAGGGGCGAACUCUAUGUCUGAGUUGGUCUUUGCUCAAGCAGUCCAGAAAUGGCUCAGAUAUGCUCCAGAUCGUACGGGUGGCACGCAGGACGCACAUCAUCCAUCCCCAUCCCGGAGUAAAUAAUAAAAAGUGACGUGAAACAUAGAAAUGUAAAUAGGAAACUUUGUCUUUUAAUAAAGUAUUUUGC
Molecule: long non-coding RNA, 1247 nt
Organism: Pelmatolapia mariae (spotted tilapia)
Lineage: Eukaryota; Metazoa; Chordata; Actinopteri; Cichliformes; Cichlidae
Exons: 5
Source: RefSeq, a predicted model, not a curated record